GUUAGAGGCAGUGUCCUGUCUGUUGUUAGUGAUGAGGUGGAGGUUUGAGGCAGUGUCCUGUCUGUUGUUAGUGAAGAGGUGGCGGUUAGAGGCAGUGUCCUGUCUGUUGUUAGUGAUGAGGUGGAGUUUAGAGGCAGUGUUCUGUCUGUUGUUAGUGAUGAGGUAGAGGUUAGAGGCAAUGUUCUGUCUGUUGUUAGUGAUGAGGUGGAGGUUAGAGAUAGUGUCUUGUCUGUUGUUAGUGAUGAGGUGGAGGUCAGAGGCAGUGUCCUGUCUGUUGUUAGUGAUGAGGUGGAGGUUUGAGGCAGUGUCCUGUCUGGUGUUAUUGAUGAGGUGGCGGUUAGAGGCAGUGUCCUGUCUGUUGUUAGUGAUGAGGUGGAGGUUAGAGGCAGUGUCCUGUCAGUUGUUAGUGAUGAGGUGGAGGUUAGAGGCAGUGUCCUGUCUGUUGUUAGUGAUGAGGUGGAGGUUAGAGGCAGUGUCCUGUCUGUUGUUAGUUAUGAGGAGGAGGUUAGAGGCAGUGUCCUGUCUGUUGUUAGUGAUGAGGUGGAGGUUAGAGGCAGUAUCCUGUCUGUUGUUAGUGAUGAGGUGGAGGUUAGAUGCAGUGUCCUGUCUGUUGUUAGUGAUGAGGUGGAGGUUAGAGGCAGUGUCCUGUCUGUUGUUAGUGAUGAGGUGGAGGUUAGAGGCAGUGUCCUGUCUGUUGUUAGUGAUGAGGUGGAGGUUAGAGGCAGUGUCCUGUCUGUUGUUAGUGAUGAGGUGGAGGUUAGAGGCAGUGUACUGUCUGUUGUUAGUGAUGAGGUGGAGGUUAGAGGCAGUGUUCUGUCUGUUGUUAGUGAUGAGGUGGAGGUUAGAGGCAGUGUCCUGUCUGUUGUUCGUGAUGAGGUGGAGGUUAGAGGCAGUGUCCUGUCUGUUGUUAGUGAUGAGGUGGAGUUUAGAGGCAGUGUCCUGUCUGUUGUUAGUGAUGAGUUGGAGGUUAAAGGCAGUGUCCUGUCUGUUGUUAGUGAUGAGGUGGAGGUUAGAGGCAGUGUCCUGUCUGUUGUUAGUGAUGAGGUGGAGGUUAGAGGCAGUGUCCUGACUGUUGUUAGUGAUGAGGUGGAGGUUAGAGGCAGUGUCCUGUCUGUUGUUAGUGAUGAGGUGGAGGUUAGAGGGAGUGUCCUGUCUGU
Long non-coding RNA from Oncorhynchus tshawytscha (Chinook salmon), 1157 nucleotides. Lineage: Eukaryota; Metazoa; Chordata; Actinopteri; Salmoniformes; Salmonidae. The record is from Ensembl.